This 459-nucleotide ribosomal RNA is filed under the name uncultured bacterium. RNAcentral describes it as "partial 16S ribosomal RNA". It matches the Rfam family "Bacterial small subunit ribosomal RNA", at positions 338 to 795 of the family's 1533-position model. The record is from RNAcentral.
CCUACGGGAUGCUGCAGUGAGGAAUAUUGGUCAAUGGCCGGAAGGCUGAACCAGCCAAGCCGCGUGAAGGACGAAGGUGCCAAGCAUUGUAAACUUCUUUUGUCAAGGGACAAAAUCAGGCUCGAGAGCCUGACCGAGGGUACUUGAAGAAAAAGCAUCGGCUAACUCCGUGCCAGCAGCCGCGGUAAUACGGAGGAUGCGAGCGUUAUCCGGAUUUAUUGGGUUUAAAGGGUGCGUAGGCGGACUGUUACGUCAGCGGUAAAAGCCCGGGGCCCAACCCCGGCGAGCCGUUGAAACUGGCUGUCUUGAGAUGUCGAGGGGUAUGCGGAAUGCGCAGUGUAGCGGUGGAAUGCUUAGAUAUAUGUAAGAACACCAGUGGCGAAGGCGGCUUGCUGGGUCGAUACUGACAUUGGGGCACGAAAGCGUGGGGAGCAAACAGGAUUAGAUACCCUGGUAGUC